CGGGUUUGAAGCUCCACACUGUGCCGGUUGGAGGAUUUAGGCCAACAUAAAUUGGAGAAUCAAGAGUCAACAACUCUAUCAGGCAUCCAUGGCAGAAGAGAGAAUUUGGAAAUGGUCGGGUCAAAAGGGGGUUGUGGAGGAGCAAUAAAUGGUUUAUUGUACCUAAUUGAGUUAUUAUGUUUGCCCGGAUCUAAUAUUUAUUCUUCUUUUUUAACGGCGUCUGCGUAAAAAAAGCCAAUGAAAAGAUGUUGAAACUGAUAACACAAAGAAAGUUGACAAAGGGGAAAUCACAGUCGUUCUAAAACUUGACUUGCGUUGUGCCGGAUGUGCCCGUACAAUUUACUGAAGGUGUGGAAACUGUGAAAGCCGAUUGUGCGACCAACAAGCUGAUAAUAACAAGGAAAGUAGAUCCCGCUCAUAUCAAGGAGCGAGUCGAGGUGAGGACCAAGAAAACCGUAGAAAUGAUACCUCCUAAACCCAAAAAGGAUGAGGGGGUGUAACGAAAGACGAUGAGAAGCCACCGGUUGCAAAAUCUAACAACGAGAAACCCCAAAGAGGUAUCAUAGAUCAUUUGAGUAAAGGACAUGGAUUUUAGCUCACUAUUUUUGUAUUUUUAAUAAUUAGUAUGAAUUUUAUUUUAUUUUUUGUUAUUUUUUAUUUUCACAUCCCUAUCGUAUGUAUAUACGUGUAACUUUGUUUUUCUAAUGCCCUUCUAUGAAGGGGUGUCUUUGGAUAUUAGCUUAAAUGUAUAAGUUACCUUUUAUUUU
Molecule: long non-coding RNA, 767 nt
Filed under: Helianthus annuus (common sunflower)
Lineage: Eukaryota; Viridiplantae; Streptophyta; Magnoliopsida; Asterales; Asteraceae
Source: RNAcentral